UGGACAGUAGAGAAGAAUCCAAGAGGAAUUUUCUGGUGUUAUUAAUCCCUGCAGGUCUCACAACCAAGGAAGAGGAGGAAGGAUGAAGGAGCUUCCUUCUGGCCUUUCUGGAUGUUUGCACGGACCCUGACGCCCACCUGCUGACGACACUCGCUCAGGCCCAAGUGGAGUUUUAAAGUGUGGCAACAACACGGAGGUAGCAGACUCAGCGCUGACAGACAUUUCUUCAUGGCUGAAUCAUUUUUCCUUCUUAAUGAUGCUCGUUUGUUUCCUCGUUAGAUUCCCACA
Oreochromis aureus is the source of this 288-nucleotide long non-coding RNA. Lineage: Eukaryota; Metazoa; Chordata; Actinopteri; Cichliformes; Cichlidae. The record is from Ensembl.